UGCCAGCCGCCGCGGUAAUACGGAGGGUCCAAGCGUUAUCCGGAAUCAUUGGGUUUAAAGGGUGCGUAGGCGGACAGAUGUGUCAGGUGUGAAAGCCCAGAGCUCAACUCUGGAACUGCGCCUGAAACUAUUUGUCUAGAGUAUCGGAGAGGUAAGCGGAAUUCCUAGUGUAGCGGUGAAAUACGUAGAUAUCUGGAGGAACACCAGUGGCGAAGGCGAUCUCUUGGUCCAUAACUGACGCUGAGGCGCGAAAGCGUGGGGAGCAAACAGGAUUAGAUA
RNAcentral lists this ribosomal RNA (279 nucleotides) under uncultured bacterium. RNAcentral's name for it is "partial 16S ribosomal RNA". It matches the Rfam family "Bacterial small subunit ribosomal RNA", at positions 506 to 784 of the family's 1533-position model. The record is from RNAcentral.